UACGUAGGGUGCAAGCGUUGUCCGGAAUUAUUGGGCGUAAAGAGCUCGUAGGCGGUUUGUCGCGUCGAAUGUGAAAACCCGGGGCUCAACCCCGGGCCUGCAUUCGAUACGGGCAGACUAGAGUUCGGUAGGGGAGUCUGGAAUUCCUGGUGUAGCGGUGAAAUGCGCAGAUAUCAGGAGGAACACCGGUGGCGAAGGCGGCGACCUGGGUAGAUACUGACGCUGAGGCGCGAAAGCGUGGGGAGCAAACAGG
Molecule: ribosomal RNA, 253 nt
Filed under: uncultured bacterium
Lineage: Bacteria
Description: partial 16S ribosomal RNA
Rfam family: Bacterial small subunit ribosomal RNA
Source: RNAcentral